GAUUAGCACACCAUCAGGGCUCUGGAUUUUCAUGGCUCUGGAGGUGGGCGGAUUUGAGUACACUACUGGUGUAAAAUGACAAAAUUCACAAUGUACAUCAGUGAUAAACCUGAUUCUGAUUCGGAUACUGAGAAAAUUAACUUUGCCUGCCAGUUUCAACUGUUUCAAGGCCAAAUCACAAGUUUGAUUUACACCAGUUCUCCACAACCAUUCUGCAUCCCCUCCUCCUAAAACAUCAGCAACAGUUAUGAGUUCAGUGGAGUGGAGGAGUGAACCUGUGCCUCUCCACUUCAUGUAGCUGCCAUUGGAAUGUGACUCUUUCAAACAUCGUACUUUGUAGCCAUGACAAUGGGAAGUGAUCAAAAUGGAAGAAUGGAAGUUGUCCAUUACAAUUCCUGCACAUCAAAAAAAGAAUCGAACAGUAAUAUCUGAGACUUUAGCCUGAUCGUAUGUAAAGACUCCAUGUAUGCAGACAUUACAGCAGAACUCAGUGGACACAGUGGAGUUUGAUCCAUUACGUACAAUGUUGGCCUACCAAGGAGAAGCAGGUGAAUGGCUUGGACAUUGACUCCAGGAAAUACUUGCAUCAUUGCAGAAGAACUCUGAGACUGUAUUGGACCAACUGGCAAUGAAGAGUUAAAUGCAAAGCAAGUGAAUCUGGAGACAGAAAUAUCACAACAAGAAAUGUACACUUGAAGACCUCCUCCAAGGAGACCACCUGUCUAUGGCAUCCAACUCACAUCAAUCUCAACAGCAAACUAAUGCCUCACAGUUGAAGCUGCAUGAUGAGACCAACUGCGGCAGGUCCCAAAGGCGGUUGUUAGACACAGAUUUUAAGAGUACUGCACCUAUUGCUAGGUGUGUUGUCUGUUGAUGAAUAGGUUGUCUGUGACUUCCAGAUUAUAUGUGCAGAAUGUCUGGUGCUGUGAUCCUGUACACAAUGCAAGCAGUACUGAAGUGAAAAGAUUACAAAACGGGUGAUUCUUCACUAAUGAGCCAUUCGUUUCCAAAUCUACAUUAAGUCUGCCACACAUCGCAAGCCUACAAGUAGUUCCUUUCCUUGUGAAGUAAAUCACUUCCAGCAUUCAGUGCCUUAAGUCUAAAUCUGUUUAUUUUGCAAAAUGUUCACAUAAAUCAAUUCCAAAUCUAGGGUAACAGGCCAAUGAUAAACGUAAGAUUUUUAGCACUGUGAUCCUCUGGUGGAGGAGAUGCACCUUGUGGCAACUUCUUCAGAAUUUCUUCAGAAGUCCUUUCAUUUCUUGAUCCAU
Molecule: long non-coding RNA, 1268 nt
Organism: Hypanus sabinus (Atlantic stingray)
Lineage: Eukaryota; Metazoa; Chordata; Chondrichthyes; Myliobatiformes; Dasyatidae
Exons: 4
Source: RefSeq, a predicted model, not a curated record